AUUGAACGCUGGCGGCAUGCCUUACACAUGCAAGUCGAGCGGCAGCGCGGGGCAACCUGGCGGCGAGCGGCGAACGGGUGAGUAAUACAUCGGAACGUGCCCAGACGUGGGGGGAUAACUACUCGAAAGAGUGGCUAAUACCGCAUACGAUCUACGGAUGAAAGCGGGGGAUCGCAAGACCUCGCGCGUCUGGAGCGGCUGAUGGCAGAUUAGGUAGUUGGUGGGAUAAAAGCCUACCAAGCCAACGAUCUGUAGCUGGUCUGAGAGGAUGAUCAGCCACACUGGGACUGAGACACGGCCCAGACUCCUACGGGAGGCAGCAGUGGGGAAUUUUGGACAAUGGGCGAAAGCCUGAUCCAGCCAUUCCGCGUGCAGGAUGAAGGCCCUCGGGUUGUAAACUGUC
RNAcentral lists this ribosomal RNA (403 nucleotides) under uncultured bacterium. Its description in RNAcentral is "bacterial SSU rRNA". It matches the Rfam family "Bacterial small subunit ribosomal RNA", at positions 29 to 434 of the family's 1533-position model. The record is from RNAcentral.